RNAcentral lists this ribosomal RNA (436 nucleotides) under uncultured bacterium. Its description in RNAcentral is "bacterial SSU rRNA". It matches the Rfam family "Bacterial small subunit ribosomal RNA", at positions 368 to 793 of the family's 1533-position model. The record is from RNAcentral.
ACAAUGGGCGCAAGCCUGAUGCAGCCAUGCCGCGUGUAUGAAGAAGGCCUUCGGGUUGUAAAGUACUUUCAGCAGUGAGGAAGGUGGAUAUGUUUAAUAGCAUAUUUCAUUUUGACGUUUAGCUGCAGAAGAAGCACCGGCUAACUCCGUGCCAGCAGCCGCGGUAAUACGGAGGGUGCGAGCGUUAAUCGGAAUUACUGGGCGUAAAGCGCAUGCAGGUGGUUUGUUAAGUCAGAUGUGAAAGCCCGGGGCUCAACCUCGGAAUUGCAUUUGAAACUGGCAAACUAGAGUACUGUAGAGGGGGUAGAAUUUCAGGUGUAGCGGUGAAAUGCGUAGAGAUCUGAAGGAAUACCGGUGGCGAAGGCGGCCCCCUGGACAGAUACUGACACUCAGAUGCGAAAGCGUGGGGAGCAAACAGGAUUAGAUACCCUGGUAG